This 468-nucleotide ribosomal RNA is filed under the name uncultured bacterium. RNAcentral describes it as "partial 16S ribosomal RNA". It matches the Rfam family "Bacterial small subunit ribosomal RNA", at positions 28 to 507 of the family's 1533-position model. The record is from RNAcentral.
GAUGAACGCUGGCGGCGUGCUUAACACAUGCAAGUCGAGCGGAAAGGCGAUGCUUUUGCUGCGUUUUCGUGUGGCGCGCGGGCGUGUGCCGCGCGCGUACCCCGCCUUUGCCUUAGUGAUGAAUUCCCGAGACAGAGGCUGAUAACGAAUCCGCGAUCUUGUUGCGUGGCGGGGGUUGGAUAGUUUCGGCGGUUGGGGAUGGACUCGCGGCUGAUCUGCUUGUUGGUGUGGUAGUGGUUAACCAAGGCUUUGCCGGGUAGCCGGCCUGAGAGGGUGACCGGCCACAGGGGGACUGAGAUACGGCCCAGACUCCUACGGGAUGCAGCAGUGGGGAAUAUUGCACGAUGGGCGGAAGCCUGAUGCAGCAACGCCGCGUGCGGGAUGACGGCCUUCUGGUUGUAAACCGCUUUCGCCUGUGAUGAAGCGUAAUUGACGGUAACGGAUGAAGAAGCACCGGCUAACUACGUG